Molecule: long non-coding RNA, 1185 nt
Organism: Solea senegalensis (Senegalese sole)
Lineage: Eukaryota; Metazoa; Chordata; Actinopteri; Pleuronectiformes; Soleidae
Exons: 4
Source: RefSeq, a predicted model, not a curated record
CCGUGACAUUGCAUUUUGUUGCAGCUCCACUUUGUGCUCGAAGGACGUCUCCAUCUCUGCUGCAGGUCGACUCAAAAACAACCGCAAAACCAUGGCUCAAGUCCAAAUUGAACACUGCGCAAGAUGAGGUUAUGGCUCCCGCUACAGGGAUGUGGCCAACGCCAUCACAGACCUGGUUCCUGAUGUGGUUAUGAAGAAAGUCAUCAGUCAGAAACCCAACAGCUUUGAGGUGACGGUUAAUGGUGAGCUGAUUUUCUCCAAACUGGCGGAGGGAAAGUUUCCCAAUCCCUCAGAGAUUGCGGAAAUGGUGAAGAAGAUUGUUUGCGGGGGCAAACGUUAAAGAUACCGAUGUCACCAUAAGAGGAUAAAGAGCUGUAUUCACACUGCACAACAUGGUUUAAAUUUGACUCAAAAUCCAUUCCCAUCACAUCACAACUACAGUCUGAGUUUACUACGGCGAAUUACUGAAGAUUUUUGAAGUUUUAACUGGUGAACGUGAGGCCACGAAGGAUAAGUCCAUGUUUUCUGCACUGUGAAUACAGACCAAGAAGAUGGUGAUGAGAGCAUCACUGAGGAGCUGGACACUGAUCUGUUCUUCUGUUUAUGAAUGUGCGCACUCAAAAUCAUACAGUGCGUACACGAUGCAAAUCUAGAAGCCUUUCAUCCAACUGGAGCCUGAGGAGCUGCUCUCAUCCUGUGAUACCUCGAGAUAACCAAUAAAAUCAUGUAUUUAGCUGCAUUUCUCAUCAAAAAUGGAAAAGAUAAAACACUCUGGUGUCUGUAUGGUGAAUAUUAAAGUGACCACGAACAGCCAGUUUGCUUAGAAACUCACAAAUUGAUGCCAUUUGUCUAUAAUCUAUACACAAAUUAAUAAUUUCCAGUUUAUGUGCUGUUAAUUUGAGCCUGAACGAGUCCAGGUUAAUAAAUAGUCAAAUAAAAGUAUAGUUUUCUUCAUAACAUUUGAAUUUUUAAUGUUUUCCCUUGUUUCCAACGUUAAAGAGAAGCAAAGCUAACAAAGACUCUUUGUGUUCACCACACAGACACACAAGUAUAAUCUUGUCACCCUGCCAAAACUUGUCAAACAGAAUCAUUUGAUGACCAAUGUUAUGAUGAAACUUGUAUUUCUCAAUAACCAAUUCCAACAAAAUGUACUCCUCCAGAAAUGCAAUAAAAAUAUGAGACUAA